Molecule: ribosomal RNA, 448 nt
Filed under: uncultured bacterium
Lineage: Bacteria
Description: bacterial SSU rRNA
Rfam family: Bacterial small subunit ribosomal RNA (bases 100-448)
Source: RNAcentral
UGAAUCCGGAUAUCGAUGGCCACUAGAGUGUUGACAUUGGAACACACGACGAGAUGGUGGAUCGAGGAGGCCGGCAGAGAGAUGGAUCCUGGCAAAAUUCGCCCUUAGAGUUUGAUCAUGGGUCAAAUUGAGCGUUGGGGGCAGGCCUAACACAUGCAAGUCGAGCGGAUGACGGGAGCUUGCUCCUGGAUUCAGCGGCGGACGGGUGAGUAAUGCCUAGGAAUCUGCCUGGUAGUGGGGGAUAACGUUCGGAAACGGACGCUAAUACCGCAUACGUCCUACGGGAGAAAGCAGGGGACCUUCGGGCCUUGCGCUAUCAGAUGGGCCUAGGUCGGAUUAGCUAGUUGGUGAGGUAAUGGCUCACCAAGGCGACGAUCCGUAACUGGUCUGAGAGGAUGAUCAGUCACACUGGAACUGAGACACGGUCCAGACUCCUACGGGAGGCAGC